RNAcentral lists this long non-coding RNA (916 nucleotides) under Gossypium barbadense (sea-island cotton). RNAcentral describes it as "long non-coding RNA (GBAR_LNC010963)". Lineage: Eukaryota; Viridiplantae; Streptophyta; Magnoliopsida; Malvales; Malvaceae. The record is from RNAcentral.
GCGCCCUUCGUUAAUCAGAUUCUUGACAAAAUGAAAAUUGGAAGAGGUUUUAUUGUCUUGACAAAAUUGAGAAACAAAAAUUAGAUUAUACUUGAUAUCAGGAGAUCGGAUAGUAUUACAAUUGCCCAUGGAGAUUCCCUCUGAGUUGUGAUAAUCAUUAGCAUUUGUUAGACUCUGAGCACCGGAGGCACUAUGAUGAGUAGCCAGCGUGUCAAUGAUCCGAGGAGUAUUUUGGGGGCAUUUGAUGUUGCAAAGUUUUCUUUAGCUUGCACGUAAUUGUGAGAUUGACUGCGACAUACUCGAGCAGAAUGAAUGGGACGAUCACAUAGCUGACAUACCAGUGUGUUGGUAGGUUGAGCAAAAUUCUACUGAGGUUUCCAAGUUGGGCAGACUAUUAUUAUUUUUGUUGAUGUUUGAAAGGGUGGACAGAGUUUGUUGAGCAAAAACAGUUGUGAUGUGUGUAGAUGACAAUAAACGAGGUUCAUGGUGAUUGAGGUCCCGAGGAAGAGCUUGUGGUCAAAGAGCCUUUCAUAUAGUUCUUCAUAGGAUAUAAUGGAGUCUCGAGCAUAGAUGACAGUGGAAAUUUCUCGGAAUUCAGGUCCUAAUCCAGGAAGGAUUUUGACAACAAGUUCUUCAUUGGAAAUUGGAGAUUCAACAGCUGCAAGUUCGUCACAAAGAGAGCAGACUUGAUGAAGACAAUAGGUUACAGGAAGAGUUUCUUCGGUGAGUCAAACUACUCGAUAAACUUAGAAUCUAUAUAUCUACUACAACCUGCUUCGUUAGGGAUUUAAAACUUUUAAUUUAAAUAAAUUUAAUUAUAAAAAAUUAUAAAAAUAUAACAUUGUACUUUUUAAAAGAUUUAUAAAUAAAUAUAACUGAAAUUGAUGUUUUCAAAAAUUCACUCUUUUUUUUUGUC